GGGCUCAGUAGUUGUGGUACUCAGACUUAGCUGCCCUGGAACACGUGGGAUCAUUUCCCUGACCAGGGAUCAAACCCAUGUCUCCUGCACUGGAAGGCAGGUUCUUAACCACUGGACCACUAGCAGAUUGGAGCAAGAGACACUCUUUUACAAGAGACAUGCUUCUACUUUGCUUAAAAAAAGCAAACUAUCCUGUGUGACUGUCUGGGAGGAGGGCUACAUGGAAGGAAACCCAGGACCCGAGGAUAGCUUCCAGUCAACAGCCAGUAAGAAGUCAGCACCCUCAGUCACAGAGCUGCAAAUGACUUCUGCCAACAACCUGAAUGAGCUUGAAAAUGAAUGCUCCCUAGUUGAGCCUUCACUUAGGACACAGCCUGACUGACAUGUUGAUUUCAGCCUUGUGAGUAUAAGCCC
This is a long non-coding RNA of Bos taurus (domestic cattle), 414 nucleotides long. NCBI's taxonomy places the organism in Eukaryota, Metazoa, Chordata, Mammalia, Artiodactyla, Bovidae. The record is from Ensembl.